UACGUAGGGUGCGAGCGUUAAUCGGAAUUACUGGGCGUAAAGCGUGCGCAGGCGGUGAUGUAAGACAGAUGUGAAAUCCCCGGGCUCAAUCUGGGAACUGCAUUUGUGACUGCAUCGCUGGAGUGCGGCAGAGGGGGAUGGAAUUCCGCGUGUAGCAGUGAAAUGCGUAGAUAUGCGGAGGAACACCGAUGGCGAAGGCAAUCCCCUGGGCCUGCACUGACGCUCAUGCACGAAAGCGUGGGGAGCAAACAGG
This 253-nucleotide ribosomal RNA is filed under the name uncultured bacterium. Its description in RNAcentral is "partial 16S ribosomal RNA". It matches the Rfam family "Bacterial small subunit ribosomal RNA", at positions 524 to 776 of the family's 1533-position model. The record is from RNAcentral.